UCAGAUUUUGGACUACGAUCG
Non-coding RNA from Caenorhabditis elegans, 21 nucleotides. Lineage: Eukaryota; Metazoa; Nematoda; Chromadorea; Rhabditida; Rhabditidae. The record is from Ensembl.